GUGCUUACCUGGCAGGGGAGACACCCUAAUCAAGAAGGUGGUUUUCCCAGGGUGAGGUUCAUCCAUUGCACUCCAGAUAUACUGACUCCUGUGAUUUCCCCAAAUUUGGAAAUUUAACUCAUAAUUUGUGGAGUGGGGGACUGCAUUUAUACUCUUUCCUU
Molecule: small nuclear RNA, 161 nt
Organism: Nannospalax galili (Upper Galilee mountains blind mole rat)
Lineage: Eukaryota; Metazoa; Chordata; Mammalia; Rodentia; Spalacidae
Gene: U1
Rfam family: U1 spliceosomal RNA
About the family: U1 is a small nuclear RNA (snRNA) component of the spliceosome (involved in pre-mRNA splicing). Its 5' end forms complementary base pairs with the 5' splice junction, thus defining the 5' donor site of an intron.
Source: Ensembl